Molecule: long non-coding RNA, 474 nt
Organism: Manis javanica (Malayan pangolin)
Lineage: Eukaryota; Metazoa; Chordata; Mammalia; Pholidota; Manidae
Source: RefSeq, a predicted model, not a curated record
UGGGGGGAGAGAGUUCCAACACAAAACACAAAGUCCCUGAAGAGGAAAGAAACCUAAUGCACUCAAGGAACAGAGAAAGCCUUGCUGUAGCAUGCUGAAGAAGAGGUGUGAAAAUCAGAAGUCUGAAAUAGAUUUCACUGGGCUGAAAUCAAGGUAUCAACUGGGCUGUGUUAAUUCUGGGGUAUCUAGGUGCCUGAAAUAUGAAGAGUGGAGAACAUGCUCAGAAAGGGGAAAUUUGGAUACAGACAUGCACACAGGGAGAACACCAUAUGAAGAUGCUGACAGAGAUCAGGGUGAUGCUUCCAUAAGCUAAGGAGCACCAAAGACUGCCAGGAAGUCACCAGAAGACAUUUGGAGGCAUAGAACAGAUUCUUUCUAAUAGUUCUCAGAAGGAAGCAAUCCUAUUGACACGUUGGUCUUGGUCUGGAAUCCAGAACUGUAAAACAAAAAAUGUCUGUUCUUUAAAAAAUAAAU